GCUGCUCUGCCAUUUUAAUAAAUCCAGCAAUGUAAUUUGGCUGCAAUCAUACAGAGUGUUUAGUGGUUUAACUGUGACUGCACCGAGAAUGGCUCUAACUCUGCAAUUACAUGAUCUACUGUGUUAUUGACAAGAGGGAACCUGGAAUCGAGAAGAAAGCUGAAGAGGCGAAUGUAAUCUGUUGGAAUUUCUGAAAGCAGAGCACUCAAAAGAGAUCAAAGCAUGGAUGGCAGGUGAACACACUCAGAGGAAAGCACUAACUGCAUACCUGAGCUCACGGAAGCCUGUGAUUGGUUGACGUUGCACUGAUUGACAGGGGAGAGAGUAAUGUCAUCUCUCGCAGCCAGAGAACAGGGCCAGUUACGCUGUCUUGCACUCCCAGCCGCGGAUGGCUGAGGUAUCAUCAAGACCUUGUGAUCUCCUGAUGAUAAGGCAAAUGCUUUUCUAUUGCAUCACUCAAGAGCCUAUAAUGCUUUAGAAAUGAAAAAAAAAAUGUUUUUGUCCCUAUAUCAAGCCUGCUACACAAUACAUCAUCUACUGAUGAUCUAUUGUGAUUCUGUAAAUCACAAAGAACUAUAACUCAAAUGCUCAGAGUGAUGUUCUGUAUUUUAGCUCAGUGUUUUGCUGGGACAUUUUUGUGUACAAUAUCUCUUGAAUUCAAAAAAGUUGCUUCACACUCUUCAAUUCCUUCUGAAGGCUAAAAACAGUGAGAAACUGCUUAAGUGUCAUUUCUGAGCUUGUGUUUGUUUAUUCUUUGUACAGGAUAAAGAGUCCUUUGACAUACUGCACUCCAGCCAGCUCAGUCUUGGCUGGAAUAUGUGCACUCCAGUGUGUGCCUGUGUGUGUGUGUGCCUGUGUGCAUGAGUGUGUGUGUGUGCCAAUGUGUGUGCCCGUGUGUGUGUAUGUGUGUGUGUGUGUGUGUGCGCGCAUGUGAGUGCGUGUGUGUGCCAGUGUGUGUUCCCGUGUGUGUGUGUGUGUGUGUGUGUGUGUGUGUGAGUGUAUUGAGGUUAACAUGACAGCACUUCACUUUUUCUUGGCCAGGCAACACAGUCCAAGCAGCUGUAACUAACCUCUUUAACUGUUAGGAAGGACACCAAUGACUCUGACAAUGUUUUCUGCUUCCCAUAUGCUCUUUUCUUUUGUUCUUUCUUUCUUUUUUUGGACAUAAAAACACCUUUCCACAUUUUGGAUUCUGAACAUGCUGCGUUUUUUUAAACUUCUGAACUUCUGUAUUAACCAUUCAGAUUUCCCUGUUCAAUUAAUUACUAUUUACACUGUUGGGUAAACCCAUGGAUGUAUCCAGUGCAUAUUUUCAAAAUGUCCUCUGAGGAUGCUGUAAGGAUAUCUGUUAGUAAAACUCAGAAUUAAUGCAUUUUGUCUAAAGGUCUCAUUAAAAGUACAGUACUGCUGUUUUCCAUGAUUAGAACUGCAACCAAAACUAAGUUAUGCUAUCAUAGCUAGUCCUGCCAGAGUCCCUGCUUGCACUCUGCACACAGUGUACAUUGUCCUUAACCAUUACGUGACAAUAAGCAUACCUAAUAAUCUGUGUUUUUCUCUCUCUCCCUCUCCCUCCCUCUCCCUCUCCCUCUGUCGAGCUACGCAUGUUACUCCUGAGAUACCAGUGCUCCUGACCCCUUCUGCUCUCCGGACCUGCCUGAUCCAGCCUGAUGUCCUACUUCUGGUUGGAGUUCUCAUCUCUUGGAAACCGCUUGCUGCUGCUGAGGAUGGCCUCAUAUGGACAGCCUAAAGAUACAUGAGAUUUCUGUGGAUGGUAUCACUUAGAAACCAUGAAGAUGGCUUUGGACUGCAAUUGAUACAAACAGUUUUGCUACAGUGGCUUAGGACUACAACUGCUAUGAUAGCAUUAGGACUGCAAUUUGCCAUGAACAGUUUUGCACUCAAGUCUCAUCAGUUGAAAACUUCAACAAAAUAGACUACAUGUUGAAACUAUAAUGAAUUUCCUGGUUACGCAAUUGCACUUUUUGACCAUGUAGUACACAGUUAUAGAAGGGUCUUAUUAUUAGUUGCACUAUUCAUUGUCACCUAGACGAGGAUGUGUUCCCUUUUGAGUCUGGUUCCUCUCAAGGUUUCUUCCUCUUGUCAUCUCAGGGAGUUUUUCCUUGCCACCUUCGCCUCUGGCUUCCUCAUUAGAGAUAAAUUUAUACAUUUAAAAUUUAUAUCCUAAAUUUAUGUAUAUUUCUUUAAAAUUGCUCUGUGACAAUGUCCAUUAUUAAAAGUGCUAUACACAUAAAAUUGAAGUGAAUUGAGACCACAGAGAGGGCAGUUUUACUGGCCCUCACGACUACCUCCAUUCUGUAACAUUUCAGGGUUCCUUAGACAUUUACAUUAUCAUUUUCAUGCAGUAUUUUUCAAAGUUGUGGAGUAGACUGCUUCAUUAGGAACCCCAUUCUGAUAAUCAGAAGAUUGAAAAGUUGCAUUCUAAAGACAGUAGCAAUAAAUUUGGGUGCUGUUCUGGACAACUGACACUAUUUUCCAGCUCCUCAGCUAAAUCCUGAGAAAUCAGUGUGUUUGGUGUGGUAGAUGACUGGUGGCUUUACUGACAGAUUUGGAUCUUAAUUUUUUGGAUUGUACACAGUACCCUAUCCAAAAGCAGAGGCUACUAAAAACAAAUAAAUCAUAUAUUU
Pangasianodon hypophthalmus (striped catfish) is the source of this 2645-nucleotide long non-coding RNA. RefSeq lists it as uncharacterized. The transcript has 3 exons. The record is from RefSeq and is a predicted model, not a curated record. NCBI's taxonomy places the organism in Eukaryota, Metazoa, Chordata, Actinopteri, Siluriformes, Pangasiidae.